Molecule: long non-coding RNA, 613 nt
Filed under: Cricetulus griseus (Chinese hamster)
Lineage: Eukaryota; Metazoa; Chordata; Mammalia; Rodentia; Cricetidae
Description: lncRNA (ENSCGRG00015035425.1)
Source: RNAcentral
AGCCAUGAGAGGUUAUUUGCCCCAAAUUCAGGGAAACAGACCAGAGCUGUAGCCUAGGACUUGGCUGUGCUGUGCUGGUUCCCACUGCUGGCUUCCUGCCACUGUUGACCAGCACUGUUGGGCCAGGAUCGGAAGUGGCAGAAUCAGGGUGAGAGUCUGUGGCUCUCCAGGCUUCCCCUCAGGUUCCUUCCUUACACUAUUGCUUGUCUUCCCGUCUCCCCCCACCAUGCACCCAGAGCUCUUCCACACCUGCCCUGCCCAGCCUGUCCUCCUUAUUGACCUCUCCAGGGGCUAGUGUACAGAGAUCCAUCCUGCAGCGCUGCUGUGGAGAAUCCACAAACCUGGGAUGGAUAGAAGUUCCCAUUCACACAGUUAUUCGGAUCCCCAGAGGCUUGCGGAGUGCCUGCCCAAGAGUCCCCACUGUGCUGGCGAUGAAUGGCACGGUGUGGGACAGCGUCACUGGUGGAACAGCACCAAGCCAAGUCUCUUCUCUGGCACAGACACUCUGCUGUGCCGUCAGCCUGCUCUGCCCUCAAUGGAAGGUGUGGGUAAUUAAGCCUUGGAAGACACCGUUCCAGAUGACCGCACAGCUCGAGAGAGUUUUCUGUUUGAC